UACCUCUGUGGAAAACAACCUUGAAGG
RNAcentral lists this non-coding RNA (27 nucleotides) under Mus musculus (house mouse). Lineage: Eukaryota; Metazoa; Chordata; Mammalia; Rodentia; Muridae. The record is from RNAcentral.